GAGAGAUGGUGGACAGAUCAGGUACAAUAGGGAAUCCUAUCGUCAACAUUAUCUCAUAU
RNAcentral lists this microRNA precursor (59 nucleotides) under Carica papaya (papaya). RNAcentral describes it as "miR8143 stem-loop (cpa-MIR8143)". Lineage: Eukaryota; Viridiplantae; Streptophyta; Magnoliopsida; Brassicales; Caricaceae. The record is from miRBase by way of RNAcentral.